RNAcentral lists this non-coding RNA (29 nucleotides) under Mus musculus (house mouse). Lineage: Eukaryota; Metazoa; Chordata; Mammalia; Rodentia; Muridae. The record is from RNAcentral.
UGAAAAGUCUGACUCAAGGAAAAGUCUUA